This 66-nucleotide transfer RNA is filed under the name human gut metagenome. It matches the Rfam family "tRNA", at positions 5 to 66 of the family's 71-position model. From Rfam's summary of the family: Transfer RNA (tRNA) molecules are approximately 80 nucleotides in length. Their secondary structure includes four short double-helical elements and three loops (D, anti-codon, and T loops). Further hydrogen bonds mediate the characteristic L-shaped molecular structure. tRNAs have two regions of fundamental functional importance: the anti-codon, which is responsible for specific mRNA codon recognition, and the 3' end, to which the tRNAs corresponding amino acid is attached (by aminoacyl-tRNA synthetases). tRNAs cope with the degeneracy of the genetic code in two manners: having more than one tRNA (with a specific anti-codon) for a particular amino acid; and 'wobble' base-pairing, i.e. permitting non-standard base-pairing at the 3rd anti-codon position. The record is from RNAcentral.
GGAUAUAGUUCAGUGGUAGAGCGCCAGAUUGUGGCUCUGGAUGUCGUGGGUUCGAGCCCCACUAUU